This 253-nucleotide ribosomal RNA is filed under the name uncultured bacterium. RNAcentral's name for it is "partial 16S ribosomal RNA". It matches the Rfam family "Bacterial small subunit ribosomal RNA", at positions 524 to 776 of the family's 1533-position model. The record is from RNAcentral.
UACAGAGGGUGCUAGCGUUAAUCGGAAUUACUGGGCGUAAAGCGUGUGUAGGGGGUUAGAUAAGUUAGAUGUGAAAUCCCCGGGCUUAACCUGGGCAUUGCGUUUAAGACUGUUUAGCUUGAGUACUGUAGAGGAUAGUGGAAUUUCCAGUGUAGCGGUGAAAUGCGUAGAUAUUGGAAGGAACACCAGUGGCGAAGGCGACUAUCUGGACAGAUACUGACACUGAGACACGAAAGCGUGGGGAGCAAACAGG